UUUGAGGGGAAUGUUGGCUGGCUCGAGGCUUUUGAGUUUGACAAAGGAGAUAGAUAUUUCAUUCCAUCUUGGAAGAACUAUAAGGCUUCGGACCAGGCUUCAUUCCCCUCAAA
Molecule: microRNA precursor, 113 nt
Filed under: Cicer arietinum (chickpea)
Lineage: Eukaryota; Viridiplantae; Streptophyta; Magnoliopsida; Fabales; Fabaceae
Description: mir-166 microRNA precursor family
Rfam family: mir-166 microRNA precursor family
About the family: This family represents the plant microRNA (miRNA) precursor mir-166. Animal miRNAs are transcribed as ~70nt precursors and subsequently processed by the Dicer enzyme to give a ~22nt product. In plants the precursor sequences may be longer, and the carpel factory (caf) enzyme appears to be involved in processing.
Source: Rfam by way of RNAcentral